RNAcentral lists this transfer RNA (23 nucleotides) under Radula formosa var. formosa. RNAcentral's name for it is "partial tRNA-Gly". The record is from RNAcentral. Lineage: Eukaryota; Viridiplantae; Streptophyta; Jungermanniopsida; Radulales; Radulaceae.
UAAAACUAGCCUUCCAAGCUAAC